Long non-coding RNA from Lontra canadensis (Northern American river otter), 222 nucleotides. RefSeq lists it as uncharacterized. The transcript has 3 exons. The record is from RefSeq and is a predicted model, not a curated record. Lineage: Eukaryota; Metazoa; Chordata; Mammalia; Carnivora; Mustelidae.
UCUGGUUAUUUCAAAGAAAUACCCUUAUCAUGCUUUAUGCUUUCUUGACUGAGAGGACCUAGAAGCAUUAACACGCCAGUAGCAUAAAGCACCUCAGCCACCCAGAUCUUGGUUCCUAAAUACCAUCUCCCACUAAAAAGAACCAGAGCUCCUUGGCAAAAUGGCAAAAUGGCGAUUCCAGGAAUGGGACUGGGGAAGUUUAAGAGUUCCCAGGACUACCCC